AGCCGCGGUAAUACCAGCUCUCCGAGUUGUAGGGAUGAUUAUUGGGCUUAAAGCGUCCGUAGCCGGCUUAGCAAGUCUCCUGUUAAAUUCAGCGACCUAAUCGUUGAGCCGCGGGAGAUACUACUAGGCUAGGAGGCGGGAGAGGUCGACGGUACUUUCGGGGUAGGGGUGAAAUCCUAUAAUCCCGGGAGGACCACCAGUGGCGAAGGCUGUCGACUAGAACGCGCUCGACGGUGAGGGACGAAAGCUGGGGGAGCGAACCGGAUUAGAUACCCGGGUAGUCCCAGCUGUAAACGAUGCGGGCUAGGUGUUGGGGUGGCUACGGGCCACUUCAGUGCCGCAGGGAAGCCAUUAAGCCCGCCGCCUGGGGAGUACGGCCGCAAGGCUGAAACUUAAAGGAAUUGGCGGGGGAGCACCACAAGGCGUGAAGCUUGCGGUUCAAUUGGAGUCAACGCCGGGAACCUUACCGGGGGCGACAGCAGGAUGAAUGCCAGAUUGAAGGUCUUGCUGGACAAGCUGAGAGGUGGUGCAUGGCC
Molecule: ribosomal RNA, 536 nt
Filed under: uncultured archaeon
Lineage: Archaea
Description: bacterial SSU rRNA
Rfam family: Archaeal small subunit ribosomal RNA
Source: RNAcentral